AUGCCGGAGUUGCCCCUCCAGCUCACCCCGUUGUGCUUGGGCAGGUGACCAGCUGACAAUUCCAGACCAUGACACAACGUGAGAACUCACAAGAUACGUAUGGAGACAGUCGUCACUUUUUCCAAGGUGAAGUUUCUUCCGGUAAAACAUGGGCAUACGUGGUAACUCGGCCGGAUCUCGACCGUCCAAGGCAUGCUAAAUGUAGGAGGACAGGAUGAGGUGGCGAGGGAGCGAGAGGAGGAGGAGGAGGACAAAGAGCUACAGUGGUAGCUACAAUUGUUUGCAUGCCCCCAGUUUGUACCACGCAAAAGCAGAUCUGGUGUCGGGCCGGUGCAGUGGAGUGCAAGGGUCGACGAACGAGAGGUGGAAGGAACUCGAAGCAAGGUAAAAAAUAAAAGAAAGGAUGGAGAUGAAAAAAAA
Hordeum vulgare subsp. vulgare (domesticated barley) is the source of this 420-nucleotide long non-coding RNA. RefSeq lists it as uncharacterized. Lineage: Eukaryota; Viridiplantae; Streptophyta; Magnoliopsida; Poales; Poaceae. The record is from RefSeq and is a predicted model, not a curated record. The transcript is spliced from 2 exons.